RNAcentral lists this ribosomal RNA (778 nucleotides) under Enterococcus casseliflavus. RNAcentral's name for it is "bacterial SSU rRNA". It matches the Rfam family "Bacterial small subunit ribosomal RNA", at positions 28 to 778 of the family's 1533-position model. Lineage: Bacteria; Bacillati; Bacillota; Bacilli; Lactobacillales; Enterococcaceae. The record is from RNAcentral.
GACGAACGCUGGCGGCGUGCUUAAUACAUGCAAGUCGAACGCUUUUUCUUUCACCGGAGCUUGCUCCACCGAAAGAAAAAGAGUGGCGAACGGGUGAGUAACACGUGGGUAACCUGCCCAUCAGAAGGGGAUAACACUUGGAAACAGGUGCUAAUACCGUAUAACACUAUUUUCCGCAUGGAAGAAAGUUGAAAGGCGCUUUUGCGUCACUGAUGGAUGGACCCGCGGUGCAUUAGCUAGUUGGUGAGGUAACGGCUCACCAAGGCAACGAUGCAUAGCCGACCUGAGAGGGUGAUCGGCCACACUGGGACUGAGACACGGCCCAGACUCCUACGGGAGGCAGCAGUAGGGAAUCUUCGGCAAUGGACGAAAGUCUGACCGAGCAACGCCGCGUGAGUGAAGAAGGUUUUCGGAUCGUAAAACUCUGUUGUUAGAGAAGAACAAGGAUGAGAGUAGAACGUUCAUCCCUUGACGGUAUCUAACCAGAAAGCCACGGCUAACUACGUGCCAGCAGCCGCGGUAAUACGUAGGUGGCAAGCGUUGUCCGGAUUUAUUGGGCGUAAAGCGAGCGCAGGCGGUUUCUUAAGUCUGAUGUGAAAGCCCCCGGCUCAACCGGGGAGGGUCAUUGGAAACUGGGAGACUUGAGUGCAGAAGAGGAGAGUGGAAUUCCAUGUGUAGCGGUGAAAUGCGUAGAUAUAUGGAGGAACACCAGUGGCGAAGGCGGCUCUCUGGUCUGUAACUGACGCUGAGGCUCGAAAGCGUGGGGAGCGAACAGGAU